Molecule: ribosomal RNA, 460 nt
Filed under: uncultured bacterium
Lineage: Bacteria
Description: partial 16S ribosomal RNA
Rfam family: Bacterial small subunit ribosomal RNA
Source: RNAcentral
CCUACGGGAGGCAGCAGUGAGGAAUAUUGGUCAUUGGCCGCGAGCCUGAACCAGCCAAGUAGCGUGAAGGAUGACUGCCCUACGGGUUGUAAACUUCUUUUAUAAAGGAAUAAAAUGAGGCACGUUUGCCUUUUUGGAUGUACUUUAUGAAUAAGGAUCGGCUAACUCCGUGCCAUCAGCCUCGGUAAUACGGAGGAUCCGAGCGUUAUCCGGCUUUCUUGGGUUUAAAGGGAGCGUAGAUGGGUUGUUAAGUCAGUUGUGAAAGUUUGCGGCUCAACCGUAAAAUUGCAAUUGAUACUGGCAGUCUUGAGUACAGUUGAGGUAGGCGGAAUUCGUGGUGUAGCGGUGAAAUGCUUAGAUAUCACGAAGAACCCCGAUUGCGAAGGCAGCUUACUAAACUGCCACUGACAUUGAUGCUCGAAAGUGUGGGUAUCAAACAGGAUUAGAUACCCCAGUAGUC